Molecule: ribosomal RNA, 440 nt
Filed under: uncultured bacterium
Lineage: Bacteria
Description: partial 16S ribosomal RNA
Rfam family: Bacterial small subunit ribosomal RNA
Source: RNAcentral
CCUACGGGAGGCAGCAGUGGGGAAUAUUGCACAAUGGGGGAAACCCUGACGCAGCGACGCCGCGUGAGUGAAGAAGUCCUUCGGUAUGUAAAGCUCUAUCAGUGGGGAAGAAAAUGACGGUAACUGAGUAAGAAGCCCCGGCUAACGUCGUGCCAGCAGCCGCGGUUAUACGGAGGGGGCAAGCGUUAUUCGGAUUUACUGGGUGUAAAGGGAGCGUAGGCGGCAGGGCAAGUCUGGAGUGAAAGGCAGGGGCUCAACCCCCGGACUGCUAUGGAAACUGUACGGCUGGAGUGCAGGAGAGGUAAGGGGAAUUCCUGGUGUAGCGGUGAAAUGCGUAGAUAUUAGGAGGAACAUCGGUGGCGAAAGCGGCUUACUGGGCUGUAACUGACGUUGAGGAACGAAAGCGUGGGGAGCAAACAGGAUUAGAUACCCGAGUAGUC